Molecule: non-coding RNA, 814 nt
Filed under: Blaptica dubia (Argentinian wood cockroach)
Lineage: Eukaryota; Metazoa; Arthropoda; Insecta; Blattodea; Blaberidae
Source: RNAcentral
AGGUGUGAAGUUCAAUAAAGUUUUAUUUUUGCUUGAAAUAUUUAUUUUGAUUUAGUUUUAUAUGCAGUUUGUUGAUAAAAUAUGAUCUUGAUGAUUAUGUUUAAAUUUGUGGAGUGCAGUAUAUAAUUUUAGUAAUUGAAGAAGUUUAGAAUUAGUUAAUAUCAUUAAGUAUUGAUUUAAUAUGUGCCAGCAGUCGCGGUUAUACAUAUGAUGUAAAUAAAUAGUUUUAGUUAAUAGUUGAUUUAGAUUAAAAUAGUUAAUAUAUUUUGAUAAUUUUGAGGUGAAAUUGAAUAUUAUCAGUUAAUACUAAUAAUUUAAUAUUAUUGAGGCUAUAAAAUUUUUAUGGUAAACUAGGAUUAGAUACCCUAUUAUUUUAAAUGUAAAAUCUUAAGGCUUGAAUAGUAUUAGUUAAGAUCUUUAAACUUAAAGAAUUUGGCGGUAUUUUAGUCUAUUUAGAGGAAUCUGUCCCGUAAUCGAUAACCCACGUUGAACCUAACUUAAUUUAUAAGUAUGUAUACCGCCGUUUAUUGAAUAUUUUUUUAGGAGAUUUUCUUAGUAUAAGGAUAUAUACAUAUUAUUUCAGGUCAAGGUGCAGCAUGUAGUUAAGGGGAGAUGGAUUACAAUAUUUUAAAGUAUAACGGAUUAUAGAAUUGGAAUUUUUAUAUAAAGGUGGAUUUAAUAGUAAUUUUUUGUAGAUUAUAAAGAUGAUUUUAGCUCUAAAGUGUGUACACAUCGCCCGUCACUCUCGUUAAAAUUUAAAAUGAGAUAAGUCGUAACAAAGUAGGUAUACCGGAAGGUGUAGCUAGAUUGAAUU